Long non-coding RNA from Erpetoichthys calabaricus (reedfish), 2168 nucleotides. RefSeq lists it as uncharacterized. Lineage: Eukaryota; Metazoa; Chordata; Cladistia; Polypteriformes; Polypteridae. The record is from RefSeq and is a predicted model, not a curated record. The transcript has 3 exons.
AAUUAGAAGACAGAGUACAUCAUACAUACGGUUUUGUUUUAUAAUCUGUGGUGGCUCUGAUCCACUUGGUCUCUUAUCCAGAUAGAUGGCUACCUUUUGCCCUUCAGCCUAAAUAUUAUGAUCAGAUGAUUGAUGGCUAUAAUACCUCUGAUGUCACUUCCAGUGUCCUUCCACUUGGACCCACAGCCAGACCCUGUCAGAAGGACCCAAAACAAGAACUUCCACCAUAUUGGGACAGUUAUGUUCUGAAUUCACAUCCGCAAAAACAAGUUUGCAAUAAUUGCAUAUAUUUUUGUUUAUUUUUCAAAAACAGACGGGGUGACCAGACUAGUACCCCAACUCUUUAUUGUUGUCAUUUGUUUCUCUUACAGUAUAUACUGUAUAUGAAGGUUGGAAAGAUAGAUGGAUGGUAACUACUCUGGGUUAUAUGGUGGUUAAGGGACUUCCUAUUAUACAUUAUAUAUUAUAUGUUACAGUAUACAUACAUAUAGUACAUACAUAUAAAAUAAAGUAAUAACAGCAAAAUAGUUGUAAAAACUGGAAUAAUCUUAUUUAUUGCUGUUAUGUCAGCAGGUGAAGAGAGAAAGCACAUCUGGUGAACAUUGAUGUGGCCUAUGGUUGAAACUGGCAGAGGCAUAGCAAGGGCAAAAUGAAUGAUAUUGAUAUUAGAUAUUGACUUCCUGUGUAGGAUAAAAGCACAGACAUGUGAGUCGCAGUGCUAGCUUUAAAUUCUUUCACCAUGUUCUUUUUUGAAUCUGUAAAGAUUCUGCAAGGAUGUGACAUGAUGACACAUGUGACAAUAUGCAUUUAAUUAUAUACUGUAUUGAUUGAUUGAUUGAUUGAUUGAUUGAUUUAUUUACUUAUUUUUAGAGUUUAUAAGAAAUUGUAACUGAAUCUUGUAAAUUGCCUUAGGUAAAGUCAGCUGCUAAAAUGAAAUCUUAGCCUUCCUUGGCAGUACUGAUUGCAAGGCAGAACCCAACCCUGGAUGGAGCGCACUUACUCGCUCUCUCACACACAUCCCCAUUUAUUCAUAAAGAACCAAUUUAGAGACAUAAAUUAACUUUGGGUGCAAAUUUUGAUAGGAGGAGAGAGCAGAACUCAGGAGUCGUGAAUCACAGCACUAAUUGCUUUGUGACCUUAAACAUAAUCUGAGUAAUUAUUUUGUGAUAAUGCUUUGGAGAAGAUAAUAUAAUAUCUUUUUUUGAAACAAAAUCAACAUUAGUUGUUGGUCUACUGUACACAUAUCAUAUGGUAAUUUAUCUUAGAGCUUUCUCGUAGGGCCUGGGAUUUGUGCAUAAAGCUUGGAUCAGCAAAGAAAGGAAAGUGACUUAAGCUAAAACAGUGCAGACUGAUUUGUUUUAACCCAGAGAGUGUACGAAUUUUAAAGCAUGAGAAAGUUUACAGACAAGUCAAAAGCAAAUGGAGACGCUAAAUUUGACAAUCAAAGACCUUUAGGAUAGACAUGGGGUCUCAUUGACGUCAAAGGUGGAGGCCUGUAUACUGACUAGAAAUUAAAUCCUUUACUCUGAGAAUAGUUUGUUCAGUGUAACUUGGAAACCAUGAAAAACUAUCCAUUUUUAUUAGAAGUCAAAGUACAUCUAGAGUCCACCAUUAGUCAAAGUUCAAAUUAGGCUCAAUAAGAAUAGUGAUCAAGACAAGGAAUGUCACAGCUCACAUAAUACAGACCUCAAAUGAACAGAGAGGUUCAACAUUGAUCGAUGAAGUAAGAAUCUCAAUGGAAAAUACACUUCCGAAAAGUUUUGCUGCUGCCAUAGUGCAGCCGUAAUCUCCCAGUCUAACUUCUCUGUCUCAAGCCAGUGAGGAAAAGACAAGGGUGAUUUUAGAUUUUUUUUUUUUUUUUCAUUUUUUUCUUUAGCAUAAAUGAAUAAGGGAGGUGAUAGGGAAGUUAGUUACUGAUAAGCAGAAUUUUGAGAAAAGCAUGGUUUUGAUGAAGCCAAAAAUUACAGCAAUAUUGUGUAGAUAAUGAUGGUUUCUUUCAUUUCUAAAGAAUUGCAGAAACUGGGGACACAGCAAAAAAUGAGUAAAUAUUUUUAUUAAAUGUCUAAAAAAAUAAUCUUUCCCAAGGCUUACAAAAAUUGUGCACUUAGUCAGCAGAAAUUUUACAACACCUCCUCCAAAUGUUUAGUUCACCUCCACAUGGUUUUAAG